RNAcentral lists this ribosomal RNA (253 nucleotides) under uncultured bacterium. RNAcentral's name for it is "partial 16S ribosomal RNA". It matches the Rfam family "Bacterial small subunit ribosomal RNA", at positions 524 to 776 of the family's 1533-position model. The record is from RNAcentral.
UACAGAGGGUGCGAGCGUUGUCCGGAAUCACUGGGCGUAAAGGGCUCGUAGGCGGCCAACUAAGUCAUACGUGAAAUCCCUCGGCUUAACCGGGGAACUGCGUCUGAUACUGGAUGGCUUGAGAUUGGGAGAGGGAUGCGGAAUUCCAGGUGUAGCGGUGAAAUGCGUAGAUAUCGGGAGGAACACCGGUGGCGAAGGCGGUCUUCUGGACGGUGACUGACGCUGAGGCGCGAAAGCGUGGGGAGCAAACGGG